Molecule: ribosomal RNA, 657 nt
Filed under: uncultured bacterium
Lineage: Bacteria
Description: bacterial SSU rRNA
Rfam family: Bacterial small subunit ribosomal RNA
Source: RNAcentral
AUUGAACGCUGGCGGCAUGCCUUACACAUGCAAGUCGAACGGCAGCGGGGACUUCGGUCCGCCGGCGAGUGGCGAACGGGUGAGUAAUGUAUCGGAACGUACCUUUCAGUGGGGGAUAACGUAGCGAAAGUUACGCUAAUACCGCAUAUUCUGUGAGCAGGAAAGCAGGGGAUCGCAAGACCUUGCGCUGAUUGAGCGGCCGAUAUCAGAUUAGCUAGUUGGUGAGGUAAAGGCUCACCAAGGCGACGAUCUGUAGCGGGUCUGAGAGGAUGAUCCGCCACACUGGAACUGAGACACGGUCCAGACUCCUACGGGAGGCAGCAGUGGGGAAUUUUGGACAAUGGGGGCAACCCUGAUCCAUCCAUGCCGCGUGAGUGAAGAAGGCCUUCGGGUUGUAAAGCUCUUUCGGCCGGGGAGAAAUCGUAUGGGCUAAUACCCUGUGCGGAUGACGGUACCGGCAUAAGAAGCACCGGCUAACUACGUGCCAGCAGCCGCGGUAAUACGUAGGGUGCGAGCGUUAAUCGGAAUUACUGGGCGUAAAGCGUGCGCAGGCGGUUUUGUAAGACAGGCGUGAAAUCCCCGGGCUCAACCUGGGAACUGCGCUUGUGACUGCAAGGCUAGAGUAUGGCAGAGGGGGGUGGAAUUCCACGUGUAGCA